Molecule: ribosomal RNA, 1340 nt
Filed under: Paenibacillus aquistagni
Lineage: Bacteria; Bacillati; Bacillota; Bacilli; Caryophanales; Paenibacillaceae
Description: partial 23S ribosomal RNA
Rfam family: Bacterial large subunit ribosomal RNA
Source: RNAcentral
AGUACCGAAGGUCUUGAUUUCAGGCUGCCAAGAAAAGCCUCUAGCCAGGUGAAGGUGCCCGUACCGCAAACCGACACAGGUAGGCGAGAUGAGUAUUCUAAGGCGCGCGGAAGAACUCUCGUUAAGGAACUCGGCAAAAUGACCCCGUAACUUCGGGAGAAGGGGUGCCUCGGUAGGGUGAAUAGCCCGAGGGGGCCGCAGUGAAAAGGCCCAAGCGACUGUUUAGCAAAAACACAGGUCUGUGCGAAGCCGCAAGGCGAAGUAUACGGGCUGACGCCUGCCCGGUGCUGGAAGGUUAAGGGGAGUGGUUAGCCGCAAGGCGAAGCUAUGAACCGAAGCCCCAGUAAACGGCGGCCGUAACUAUAACGGUCCUAAGGUAGCGAAAUUCCUUGUCAGGUAAAUUCUGACCCGCACGAAUGGCGUAACGACUUGGGCGCUGUCUCAACGAGAGAUCCGGUGAAAUUUUAAUACCUGUGAAGAUGCAGGUUACCCGCGACAAGACGGAAAGACCCCAUGGAGCUUUACUGUAGCUUGAUAUUGGACUUUGGUACGGACUGUACAGGAUAGGUGGGAGCCUUUGAAGCAGGAGCGCAAGCUUCUGUGGAGGCGCCGUUGGGAUACCACCCUGUUCGUAUCGGAGUUCUAACCUAGGACCGUAAUCCGGUUCGGGGACAGUGUCAGGUGGACAGUUUGACUGGGGCGGUCGCCUCCUAAAGAGUAACGGAGGCGCCCCAAGGUUCCCUCAGAAUGGUUGGAAAUCAUUCGAAGAGUGCAAAGGCAUAAGGGAGCUUGACUGCGAGACCUACAAGUCGAGCAGGGACGAAAGUCGGGCUUAGUGAUCCGGUGGUACCGCAUGGAAGGGCCAUCGCUCAACGGAUAAAAGCUACCCUGGGGAUAACAGGCUUAUCUCCCCCAAGAGUCCACAUCGACGGGGAGGUUUGGCACCUCGAUGUCGGCUCAUCGCAUCCUGGGGCUGAAGUAGGUCCCAAGGGUUGGGCUGUUCGCCCAUUAAAGCGGUACGCGAGCUGGGUUCAGAACGUCGUGAGACAGUUCGGUCCCUAUCUGUCGCGGGCGUAGGAAAUUUGAGAGGAGCUGUCCUUAGUACGAGAGGACCGGGAUGGACGUACCGCUGGUGCACCAGUUGUUUCGCCAGAAGCAUAGCUGGGUAGCUAAGUACGGAAGGGAUAAGCGCUGAAAGCAUCUAAGCGUGAAGCCCCCCUCAAGAUGAGAUUUCCCAAUUAGUAAGACCCCUUGAAGACGACGAGGUAGAUAGGUUGGGGGUGGAAGCACAGCAAUGUGUGGAGCUGACCAAUACUAAUCGGUCGAGGGCUUAUCCUAAG